RNAcentral lists this ribosomal RNA (457 nucleotides) under Campylobacter gracilis. RNAcentral's name for it is "bacterial SSU rRNA". It matches the Rfam family "Bacterial small subunit ribosomal RNA", at positions 29 to 500 of the family's 1533-position model. The record is from RNAcentral. Lineage: Bacteria; Pseudomonadati; Campylobacterota; Epsilonproteobacteria; Campylobacterales; Campylobacteraceae.
AGUGAACGCUGGCGGCGUGCCUAAUACAUGCGAGUCGAACGGAAUUUAAAAGAGCUUGCUCUUUUAAAUUUAGUGGCGCACGGGUGAGUAAUAUAUAGCUAAUCUGCCCCUUGCUGGAGGACAACAGGUAGAAAUGACUGCUAAUACUCCAUACUCCUUUUUACCAUAAGAUAAAUCGGGAAAGAAUUUCGGCAAGGGAUGAGACUAUAUCGUAUCAGCUAGUCGGUGGGGUAACGGCCUACCGAGGCUAUGACGCGUAACUGGUCUGAGAGGAUGAUCAGUCACAUUGGAACUGAGACACGGUCCAAACUCCUACGGGAGGCAGCAGUAGGGAAUAUUGCGCAAUGGGGGAAACCCUGACGCAGCAACGCCGCGUGGAGGAUGACACUUUUCGGAGCGUAAACUCCUUUUGUUAGGGAAGAAUAAUGACGGUACCUAACGAAUAAGCACCGGCUAA